CACCUACGGGGGGCAGCAGUGAGGAAUAUUGGUCAAUGGGCGGAAGCCUGAACCAGCCAAGUCGCGUGAGGGAAGACGGCCCUACGGGUUGUAAACCUCUUUUGCCGGGGAGCAAUGCCCAGCUCGCGAGCUGGGAAGGAGAGUACCCGGAGAAAAAGCAUCGGCUAACUCCGUGCCAGCAGCCGCGGUAAUACGGAGGAUGCGAGCGUUAUCCGGAUUUAUUGGGUUUAAAGGGUGCGUAGGCGGAAUGCCAAGUCAGCGGUAAAAUCGCGGGGCUCAACCUCGCUCCGCCGUUGAAACUGGCG
This 305-nucleotide ribosomal RNA is filed under the name uncultured bacterium. Its description in RNAcentral is "bacterial SSU rRNA". It matches the Rfam family "Bacterial small subunit ribosomal RNA", at positions 335 to 638 of the family's 1533-position model. The record is from RNAcentral.